RNAcentral lists this ribosomal RNA (272 nucleotides) under uncultured prokaryote. Its description in RNAcentral is "partial 16S ribosomal RNA". It matches the Rfam family "Bacterial small subunit ribosomal RNA", at positions 524 to 796 of the family's 1533-position model. The record is from RNAcentral.
UACGGGAGGAGCGAGCAUUAUUCGGAAUGAUUAGGCGUAAAGGGUUUGUAGGUGGUUUUUUAAGUUGAAAAAAACAAAUUAAAGCUCAACUUUAUAAAUUUUUUCAAAACUGAAAAACUUGAGUAUAAAUAGAGGAUAAUGGAAUUUCUAUUGGAGGGAUAAAAUAUGUUGAUAAUAGAAGGAAGAUCAAAAGCGAAGGCAAUUAUCUGGGUAUAUACUGACACUGAGAAACGAAAGCUUGGGUAGCGAACGGGAUUAGAAACCCGUAGUCC